RNAcentral lists this ribosomal RNA (1548 nucleotides) under Salmonella enterica subsp. enterica serovar Paratyphi B var. L(+) tartrate +. RNAcentral's name for it is "bacterial SSU rRNA". It matches the Rfam family "Bacterial small subunit ribosomal RNA". The record is from RNAcentral. Lineage: Bacteria; Pseudomonadati; Pseudomonadota; Gammaproteobacteria; Enterobacterales; Enterobacteriaceae.
UGAAGAGUUUGAUCAUGGCUCAGAUUGAACGCUGGCGGCAGGCCUAACACAUGCAAGUCGAACGGUAACAGGAAGCAGCUUGCUGCUUCGCUGACGAGUGGCGGACGGGUGAGUAAUGUCUGGGAAACUGCCUGAUGGAGGGGGAUAACUACUGGAAACGGUGGCUAAUACCGCAUAACGUCGCAAGACCAAAGAGGGGGACCUUCGGGCCUCUUGCCAUCAGAUGUGCCCAGAUGGGAUUAGCUAGUUGGUGAGGUAACGGCUCACCAAGGCGACGAUCCCUAGCUGGUCUGAGAGGAUGACCAGCCACACUGGAACUGAGACACGGUCCAGACUCCUACGGGAGGCAGCAGUGGGGAAUAUUGCACAAUGGGCGCAAGCCUGAUGCAGCCAUGCCGCGUGUAUGAAGAAGGCCUUCGGGUUGUAAAGUACUUUCAGCGGGGAGGAAGGUGUUGUGGUUAAUAACCACAGCAAUUGACGUUACCCGCAGAAGAAGCACCGGCUAACUCCGUGCCAGCAGCCGCGGUAAUACGGAGGGUGCAAGCGUUAAUCGGAAUUACUGGGCGUAAAGCGCACGCAGGCGGUCUGUCAAGUCGGAUGUGAAAUCCCCGGGCUCAACCUGGGAACUGCAUUCGAAACUGGCAGGCUUGAGUCUUGUAGAGGGGGGUAGAAUUCCAGGUGUAGCGGUGAAAUGCGUAGAGAUCUGGAGGAAUACCGGUGGCGAAGGCGGCCCCCUGGACAAAGACUGACGCUCAGGUGCGAAAGCGUGGGGAGCAAACAGGAUUAGAUACCCUGGUAGUCCACGCCGUAAACGAUGUCUACUUGGAGGUUGUGCCCUUGAGGCGUGGCUUCCGGAGCUAACGCGUUAAGUAGACCGCCUGGGGAGUACGGCCGCAAGGUUAAAACUCAAAUGAAUUGACGGGGGCCCGCACAAGCGGUGGAGCAUGUGGUUUAAUUCGAUGCAACGCGAAGAACCUUACCUGGUCUUGACAUCCACGGAAGUUUUCAGAGAUGAGAAUGUGCCUUCGGGAACCGUGAGACAGGUGCUGCAUGGCUGUCGUCAGCUCGUGUUGUGAAAUGUUGGGUUAAGUCCCGCAACGAGCGCAACCCUUAUCCUUUGUUGCCAGCGAUUAGGUCGGGAACUCAAAGGAGACUGCCAGUGAUAAACUGGAGGAAGGUGGGGAUGACGUCAAGUCAUCAUGGCCCUUACGACCAGGGCUACACACGUGCUACAAUGGCGCAUACAAAGAGAAGCGACCUCGCGAGAGCAAGCGGACCUCAUAAAGUGCGUCGUAGUCCGGAUUGGAGUCUGCAACUCGACUCCAUGAAGUCGGAAUCGCUAGUAAUCGUGGAUCAGAAUGCCACGGUGAAUACGUUCCCGGGCCUUGUACACACCGCCCGUCACACCAUGGGAGUGGGUUGCAAAAGAAGUAGGUAGCUUAACCUUCGGGAGGGCGCUUACCACUUUGUGAUUCAUGACUGGGGUGAAGUCGUAACAAGGUAACCGUAGGGGAACCUGCGGUUGGAUCACCUCCUUACCUUAAAGAA